GCAAAAGUCGUAACAAGGUAGCUGUAGGUGAACCUGCUGCUGGAUCAUUACUUUAUGUGAUGUUCAAAUUUGAAUUCGCAAUGAAAUGAUCGUUGUGAAACGGCUGUCGCUGGUGUCUAAGUGUUGCUGAUACGGUUGUGAACGUCCGUGGCUGUAUAUGUGGUGACAUGUUAGGACUCUAAUGAGUUUAAGACCUAAUGAGCCUCUUAAGUGAGGCCGCCAGCAACCUUUUUUUUCUCUACAUUUUAAAAAAAAAACUAAAAUUCUAUCCUUAUCGGUGGAUCACUAGGCUCGUGGAUCGAUGAAGAACGCACCAAACUGCGAUAAUUAUUGCGAACUGCAGAAGUAUUGAGCACAAAAGUUUUGAACGCAAAUGGCCGCAUUGAGGUCAAACUCUUUGCAACGUCUGGUUCAGGGUCAUUUUCUCUUAUAGCGGAAGCUUUAAUUUCUAUAAUGAUGUUGUUGCUUUAUAUUUUAAAAGGAUUUUUGUUUAUUCAUGUAUUAAAUCUAACUGUGAAAAUCAAACAAUUUUGACCUGAACUCAGUCGAGAGCCCCCGCUGAACUUAAGCAUAUCAGUAAGCGGGAGGAAAAGAAACGAAAUAGGAUUCCC
Molecule: ribosomal RNA, 611 nt
Filed under: Meloidogyne javanica (root-knot nematode)
Lineage: Eukaryota; Metazoa; Nematoda; Chromadorea; Rhabditida; Meloidogynidae
Description: eukaryotic LSU rRNA
Rfam family: 5.8S ribosomal RNA (bases 267-420)
Source: RNAcentral